Molecule: ribosomal RNA, 434 nt
Filed under: uncultured bacterium
Lineage: Bacteria
Description: bacterial SSU rRNA
Rfam family: Bacterial small subunit ribosomal RNA
Source: RNAcentral
AACGCGAAGAACCUUACCUACUCUUGACAUCCAGAGAACUUAGCAGAGAUGCUUUGGUGCCUUCGGGAACCCUGAGACAGGUGCUGCAUGGCUGUCGUCAGCUCGUGUUGUGAAAUGUUGGGUUAAGUCCCGCAACGAGCGCAACCCUUAUCCUUUGUUGCCAGCGGUUCGGCCGGGAACUCAAAGGAGACUGCCAGUGAUAAACUGGAGGAAGGUGGGGAUGACGUCAAGUCAUCAUGGCCCUUACGAGUAGGGCUACACACGUGCUACAAUGGCAUAUACAAAGAGAAGCGAUCUCGCGAGAGCAAGCGGACCUCAUAAAGUAUGUCGUAGUCCGGAUUGGAGUCUGCAACUCGACUCCAUGAAGUCGGAAUCGCUAGUAAUCGUGGAUCAGAAUGCCACGGUGAAUACGUUCCCGGGUCUUGUACACACCG